Molecule: long non-coding RNA, 358 nt
Organism: Brassica napus (rape)
Lineage: Eukaryota; Viridiplantae; Streptophyta; Magnoliopsida; Brassicales; Brassicaceae
Exons: 3
Source: RefSeq, a predicted model, not a curated record
UCCUUCACUUCCACCAUCUUCGUCUUCGUCACCGAGUCCUUGCCUGUUAACUCUAGCUCUAACAAGGUGACGACGACCAAUGGGAACCCUAGGCAGAGCAUUUUAAUCCGUCUGAUUUUGGAUCCGAGAGACCGGCCAAUCUCUCGAUCGCCUCGGAUGUCGCAGGCAGCAAUUGCUUCCGAGAACAACUAUCCAGGCAUCGGGCAUUGAUGAAUGUAUUUGAUAAGGCUCCGAUUCUGGAUAAGGAAGCUUUUGUAACCGUCAUAUUGGAAGAUGAUCAUCUAUUUGGUAUGUAUUCGUUCAACGAGGGGAUGUGAAUACUGACAGUGUUGGAUCAGGAACUAAUAUUAGGACAACU